CUUGGAGCUUUCAUGAUUGUUAAUCAACUUAACUUUCCGUGAGAUUGAAGUAGGAGAAACCUCAAUUGCUGGAUCUGCUCUUCUUACUAUAAAACUGGUGUUCUGAUCAUAGUAGUAGGCUUUCAUCAGUGAUUUGAAAUUAGGAGCAUCUUGUCAAAUAUUAUUAGCAAUAUUUCUAAUGACUAAUAAUAAAUAAUCUACUGUGCAUAUCAUGCUUUGAUUGAUUUAAGAAAGA
Molecule: non-coding RNA, 235 nt
Organism: Arachis ipaensis
Lineage: Eukaryota; Viridiplantae; Streptophyta; Magnoliopsida; Fabales; Fabaceae
Source: RefSeq, a predicted model, not a curated record